This 249-nucleotide ribosomal RNA is filed under the name uncultured bacterium. RNAcentral's name for it is "partial 16S ribosomal RNA". It matches the Rfam family "Bacterial small subunit ribosomal RNA", at positions 524 to 772 of the family's 1533-position model. The record is from RNAcentral.
UACAGAGGGUGCGAGCGUUAAUCGGAAUUACUGGGCGUAAAGCGCGCGUAGGCGGCUUUGCAAGUCGGGUGUGAAAUCCCCAGGCUUAACCUGGGAACUGCAUUCGAGACUGCAUUGCUAGAGUAUGGGAGAGGGAAGUGGAAUUUCCGGUGUAGCGGUGAAAUGCGUAGAUAUCGGAAGGAACAUCAGUGGCGAAAGCGACUUCCUGGACCAAUACUGACGCUCAUGUGCGAAAGCGUGGGGAGCAAA